RNAcentral lists this ribosomal RNA (375 nucleotides) under uncultured bacterium. RNAcentral describes it as "bacterial SSU rRNA". It matches the Rfam family "Bacterial small subunit ribosomal RNA", at positions 28 to 416 of the family's 1533-position model. The record is from RNAcentral.
AAUGAACGUUGGCGGCGUGGAUUAGGCAUGCAAGUCGUACGGGCCGCAAGGCCAGUGGCGUAAGGGUGAGUAAGGCGGAGGUAACCAACCCCAUGGCCGGGUAUAGCCGCGGGAAACUGCGGGUAAUCCCCGGCGACGUCCGGAGAGGGCAUCCUUUCCGGACCAAAGCUCCGGCGCCGUGGGACGGGCCUCCGUGGUAUUAGCUCGUUGGCGGGGUAACGGCCCACCAAGGCUAUGAUGCCUACCGGGCGUGCGAGCGNGGCCCGGCACACUGGGACUGAGACACUGCCCAGACUCCUACGGGAGGCUGCAGUCGAGAAUCUUCGGCAAUGGGCGCAAGCCUGACCGAGCGACGCCGCGUGGAGGACGAAGGCC